RNAcentral lists this ribosomal RNA (443 nucleotides) under uncultured bacterium. RNAcentral's name for it is "partial 16S ribosomal RNA". It matches the Rfam family "Bacterial small subunit ribosomal RNA", at positions 338 to 795 of the family's 1533-position model. The record is from RNAcentral.
CCUACGGGGGGCACCAGUGGGGGAUCUUGGACAAUGGGGGAAACCCUGAUCCAGCGACGCCGCGUGAGUGAAGAAGUAUUUCGGUAUGUAAAGCUCUAUCAGCAGGGAAGAAAGAAAUGACGGUACCUGAGUAAGAAGCCCCGGCUAACUACGUGCAAGCAGCCGCGGUAAUACGUAGGGGGCAAGCGUUAUCCGGAAUUACUGGGUGUAAAGGGAGCGUAGACGGUAAUGCAAGUCUGGAGUGAAAGGCGGGGGCCCACCCCCCGGACUGCUCUGGAAACUGUGUAACUGGAGUGCAGGAGAGGCAGGCGGAAGGCCUAGUGUAGCGGUGAAAUGCGUAGAUAUUAGGAGGAACACCGGUGGCGAAGGCGGCUUACUGGACCGUAACUGACGUUGAGGCUCGAAAGCGUGGGGAGCAAACAGGAUUAGAUACCCGUGUAGUC